CAGUCGCCGCGGUAAUACGUAGGGCGCAAGCGUUGUCCGGAAUUAUUGGGCGUAAAGAGCUCGUAGGCGGUCUGUCGCGUCUGGUGUGAAAUCCCGAGGCUCAACCUCGGGCUUGCAUCGGGUACGGGCAGACUAGAGUGCGGUAGGGGAGACUGGAAUUCCUGGUGUAGCGGUGGAAUGCGCAGAUAUCAGGAGGAACACCGAUGGCGAAGGCAGGUCUCUGGGCCGCAACUGACGCUGAGGAGCGAAAGCAUGGGGAGCGAACAGGAUUAGAGACCCCCGUAGUCCCUGUCUCUUAUAC
This 301-nucleotide ribosomal RNA is filed under the name uncultured bacterium. RNAcentral describes it as "partial 16S ribosomal RNA". It matches the Rfam family "Bacterial small subunit ribosomal RNA", at positions 509 to 807 of the family's 1533-position model. The record is from RNAcentral.